Molecule: non-coding RNA, 86 nt
Organism: Acanthosepion pharaonis
Lineage: Eukaryota; Metazoa; Mollusca; Cephalopoda; Sepiida; Sepiidae
Source: the annotation of a GenBank genome assembly
UUCCCGUACGAUCACCGAAGUUAAGCAACGUCGAGUCUGGUCAGUAGCUAGAUGGGUGACCGCUUGGGAAUACCAGGUGCUGUAAG